CCUUGGACAGCAAGUGGCCCUUGCAGGACAAGUACCUAUUGGGAAAAUUGCUCAAAACCUGCAAAUUCACUACCUGUGUCCAGAGCCACAGGAAAAUGCCAGCUUCCUGUGGUUCAAUGUGAGGAGAGAAAGUAUGAAGUCUCAGGCUGAUGUUUGCAGUUUGCCUUGGAGUCACACUCCGGAUGACGGGACCCAGAGAGAAGACGCAAUCUGGGCUGGGCUGGCGAUCGGGCCACAGGGUAUUGAAUACUUAAC
Molecule: long non-coding RNA, 255 nt
Organism: Suricata suricatta (meerkat)
Lineage: Eukaryota; Metazoa; Chordata; Mammalia; Carnivora; Herpestidae
Exons: 3
Source: RefSeq, a predicted model, not a curated record